GCGCCUGUAGCUCAGGGGAUAGAGCAGCGGACUUCUAAUCCGUUAGUCGGGGGUUCAAAUCCUCCCAGGCGCACCA
This 76-nucleotide transfer RNA is filed under the name Bacillota bacterium. RNAcentral's name for it is "Firmicutes bacterium (anaerobic digester metagenome) tRNA-Arg". It matches the Rfam family "tRNA". Rfam says of the family: Transfer RNA (tRNA) molecules are approximately 80 nucleotides in length. Their secondary structure includes four short double-helical elements and three loops (D, anti-codon, and T loops). Further hydrogen bonds mediate the characteristic L-shaped molecular structure. tRNAs have two regions of fundamental functional importance: the anti-codon, which is responsible for specific mRNA codon recognition, and the 3' end, to which the tRNAs corresponding amino acid is attached (by aminoacyl-tRNA synthetases). tRNAs cope with the degeneracy of the genetic code in two manners: having more than one tRNA (with a specific anti-codon) for a particular amino acid; and 'wobble' base-pairing, i.e. permitting non-standard base-pairing at the 3rd anti-codon position. RNAcentral also lists the same sequence under 1 other name. The record is from RNAcentral. Lineage: Bacteria; Bacillati; Bacillota.